This 453-nucleotide long non-coding RNA is filed under the name Ananas comosus (pineapple). Its description in RNAcentral is "long non-coding RNA (ACOM_LNC019855)". Lineage: Eukaryota; Viridiplantae; Streptophyta; Magnoliopsida; Poales; Bromeliaceae. The record is from RNAcentral.
UUUUUGUAUGUUCAACUGGAUUGCAAUUUCUAAACCAGCAAUAAGAGCUUCAUAUUCAGCCUCAUUAUUUGUGCGAGGCUCAGAAAGGGCUAAUGAGUACCUUAAAAUGCCUCCUUCAGGUGUUACAAAGAUUAACCCUAUCCCGGCCUUAAUCUUAGGGAUAUUUGGACUGAAAGCUGGUUGAAUUGAGGAUGCGCCAUCAAAAUACAUUUUUCAAUAGGGUUGGUCUUCUUCAGUAAACAUAAUAUGCUCAUCGGGCAAAUCACAGAUCAAAGGUGAGUCAUCUGGAAUUGGGUGCGCAGCUAGAAAAUCAGCAAGUGCUUGACCUUUGAUGGCUUUCUGUGGUACAUAAGUGAUGUCGAAUUCAAGGAGUAUAACAGCCCACUUCGCCAACCUUCCAGUCAAAACUGGUCUUGUCAUUAAGAAUUUAAGUGGGUUCACCCUCGAAAUUAA